GUAUAAGACGGUGGAGCGGGUGGUGCAGACUCUGAAGAACCUGUGCUGUGCUCUGGACGAGACGGAGACCCAGGCCAUCACUGAGGCCGUCAAAAGGCUGAAACACUCCGUCAACUUACCCCAGACACGCUCCCCCAAGAUGGGGUCCACAUCGUCUGGUCAAUCGUCAAAUGGAAAGUGGGCACGCGAUGACAGCUUCCUUGACACCAUC
This is a long non-coding RNA of Trematomus bernacchii (emerald rockcod), 211 nucleotides long. RefSeq lists it as uncharacterized. The transcript is spliced from 3 exons. Lineage: Eukaryota; Metazoa; Chordata; Actinopteri; Perciformes; Nototheniidae. The record is from RefSeq and is a predicted model, not a curated record.